AUUGAACGCUGGCGGCAGGCCUAACACAUGCAAGUCGAACGAGUGGCGGACGGGUGAGUAAUGUCUGGGAAACUGCCUGAUGGAGGGGGAUAACUACUGGAAACGGUAGAUAAUACCGCAUACCAUCGGAUGUGCCCAGAUGGGAUUAGCUAGUAGGUGGGGUAAAGGCUCACCUAGGCGACGAUCCCUAGCUGGUCUGAGAGGAUGACCAGCCACACUAGAACGUAGACACGGUCCAGACUCCUACGGGAGGCAUAAGUGGUGAAAAUUGCACAAUGGGCGCAAGCCUGAUGCAGCAGUGCCGCGUGUAUUAAGAAGGCCUUAGGGUUGGAAAGUACUUUCAGCGGGGAGGCGGUACCCGCAGAAGAAACACCGGCUAACUCCGUGCCAGCAGCCGCGGUAAUUC
RNAcentral lists this ribosomal RNA (406 nucleotides) under uncultured bacterium. RNAcentral's name for it is "partial 16S ribosomal RNA". It matches the Rfam family "Bacterial small subunit ribosomal RNA", at positions 30 to 526 of the family's 1533-position model. The record is from RNAcentral.